Molecule: ribosomal RNA, 254 nt
Filed under: uncultured prokaryote
Description: partial 16S ribosomal RNA
Rfam family: Bacterial small subunit ribosomal RNA
Source: RNAcentral
UACGUAGGUGGCAAGCGUUAUCCGGAAUUAUUGGGCGUAAAGAGCGCGCAGGUGGUUGAUUAAGUCAGCGGUGAAAUUUUGCAGCUUAACUGUAACAGUGCCGUUGAUACUGUUUGGCUAGGAUUUGGUUGUAGUGUGCGGAAUGUGUGGUGUAGCGGUGAAAUGCUUAGAUAUCACACAGAACACCGAUUGCGAAGGCAGCACACUAAGUCAUUAUUGACGCUGAGGCACAAAAGUGUGGGGAUCAAACAGGA